UUAGAUAAGUAUGUCUCCCAGCACUACGUCUAGACCUUUUUCUACGCUCGAAUGGACAAUCAGGAGGCUGAGCUUGAGAACUUUUGUGUGGUGCAGGUGCACUUUUUGUAGUAGCAGGAGAGCCAACCUCAGGUGGAGUUGCACCCUCCCCAGGUUUAGGUGCAGGUGCAGGUAUGGGAGAAGUUGCAGGAGUUAGGCGAGUAUUGUGAUGGUGAUGAUGAUGGUGGUGGUGAUGGUGGUGAUGGUGAUGGUAGUGAUGGUGCGGGGAAUGGGGAACAGGAGCAGGAGAAGGUGAUCUCGCAGUAUCACUGCCAUUAAGGGAGUGCUGCAAGAUGGAUGAAAGUCUGACAUGCUUAACCUUGCCAAAUUCAGUGUUAUUCA
This 381-nucleotide long non-coding RNA is filed under the name Trifolium pratense (red clover). RNAcentral's name for it is "long non-coding RNA (TPRA_LNC014360)". Lineage: Eukaryota; Viridiplantae; Streptophyta; Magnoliopsida; Fabales; Fabaceae. The record is from RNAcentral.